UACAGAGGGGGGCAAGCGUUGUUCGGAAUUACUGGGCGUAAAGGGCGCGUAGGCGGCCUGUUAAGUCGAACGUGAAAUCCCCGGGCUCAACCCGGGAACUGCGUCCGAUACUGGCAGGCUUGAAUCCGGGAGAGGGAUGCGGAAUUCCAGGUGUAGCGGUGAAAUGCGUAGAUAUCUGGAGGAACACCGGUGGCGAAGGCGGCAUCCUGGACCGGUAUUGACGCUGAGGCGCGAAAGCCAGGGGAGCAAACGGGG
RNAcentral lists this ribosomal RNA (255 nucleotides) under uncultured bacterium. Its description in RNAcentral is "partial 16S ribosomal RNA". It matches the Rfam family "Bacterial small subunit ribosomal RNA", at positions 524 to 777 of the family's 1533-position model. The record is from RNAcentral.